GUAGGGGGCAAGCGUUAUCCGGAUNUACUGGGUGUAAAGGGAGCGUAGACGGUUUUGCAAGUCUGAAGUGAAAGCCCGGGGCUUAACCCCGGGACUGCUUUGGAAACUGUAGGACUAGAGUGCAGGAGAGGUAAGUGGAAUNCCUAGUGUAGCGGUGAAAUGCGUAGAUAUUAGGAGGAACACCAGUGGCGAAGGCGGCUUACUGGACUGUAACUGACGUUGAGGCUCGAAAGCGUGGGGAGCAAACAGGAUUAGAUACCCUGGUAGUCCACGCCGUAAACGAUGAUUACUAGGUGUUGGUGGGUAUGACCCAUCGGUGCCGCAGCAAACGCAAUAAGUAAUCCACCUGGGGAGU
Molecule: ribosomal RNA, 355 nt
Filed under: uncultured bacterium
Lineage: Bacteria
Description: bacterial SSU rRNA
Rfam family: Bacterial small subunit ribosomal RNA
Source: RNAcentral